This 72-nucleotide transfer RNA is filed under the name Camelus bactrianus (Bactrian camel). It matches the Rfam family "tRNA". Rfam says of the family: Transfer RNA (tRNA) molecules are approximately 80 nucleotides in length. Their secondary structure includes four short double-helical elements and three loops (D, anti-codon, and T loops). The record is from Rfam by way of RNAcentral. Lineage: Eukaryota; Metazoa; Chordata; Mammalia; Artiodactyla; Camelidae. RNAcentral also lists the same sequence under 1 other name.
GAGGGUAUAGCUCAGAAGGAGAGCACGUGCAUAGCGCGCCUGAGGUCCUGGGCUCAAUCCCCAGUACCCCUA